This 74-nucleotide transfer RNA is filed under the name Methanobrevibacter sp. RNAcentral's name for it is "tRNA-Thr". It matches the Rfam family "tRNA". From Rfam's summary of the family: Transfer RNA (tRNA) molecules are approximately 80 nucleotides in length. Lineage: Archaea; Methanobacteriati; Methanobacteriota; Methanobacteria; Methanobacteriales; Methanobacteriaceae. The record is from RNAcentral.
GCCGACAUAAUUAAACGGUAUAAUGACGCACCUGUAAUGCGUUCUUCCUAGUUCAAAUCUGGGUGUCGGCACCA